Polistes canadensis is the source of this 480-nucleotide long non-coding RNA. RefSeq lists it as uncharacterized. The record is from RefSeq and is a predicted model, not a curated record. NCBI's taxonomy places the organism in Eukaryota, Metazoa, Arthropoda, Insecta, Hymenoptera, Vespidae. The transcript has 2 exons.
GUAGAAGGAUCUAAAUCAAAAUCAGAAUGAAGUUCUUAUAUAUCUUCACACUAGUGCUUGGAAUCAUCUCCCAGGUGUUUGCCACCAUAGAUGAUGGAGAGAGAAACAUUUAUUCGAUGAAUCUUCCUUAUGGAAGAGGAUUGGACAAUGAAUUACAACUUGCUAGACUGUUAAUGGCGUCGCCUCGUCUUUGCUAUCCAAAACGUAAUUCCGAGAUUAUCAAUACUUUACUUGGUCUUCCGAAAAAUAUGAACAAUGCUGGAAAAUGAAAUAUUUAUGACAUAGAUAAUUACUUACAAAAAUAUGUACUAGCUAUUGAUAAGUUAUUGCGAUUAUAAAGAGUGCUUUAUUAUUGUUUAACACACAAUGAAAAUCGAAAAUGUAAAAACAGCAAAUUUUUGUCUAUUUUAUUUCUAUUAUGUAAUUAAGUUAUAUGCAUAUAGAUUAGAAAAAGUAAAUAAAUAAAUAACGAAAAAAUAA